GGGCUGGCUCAGCAUUGGAGAGCACUGCACUGUUCUUGCAGAGGUCCUGAGUUCAAUUCCCAGCACCCA
RNAcentral lists this transfer RNA (69 nucleotides) under Mesocricetus auratus (golden hamster). It matches the Rfam family "tRNA". Rfam says of the family: Transfer RNA (tRNA) molecules are approximately 80 nucleotides in length. Their secondary structure includes four short double-helical elements and three loops (D, anti-codon, and T loops). Lineage: Eukaryota; Metazoa; Chordata; Mammalia; Rodentia; Cricetidae. The record is from Rfam by way of RNAcentral.